This 497-nucleotide ribosomal RNA is filed under the name uncultured bacterium. RNAcentral describes it as "partial 16S ribosomal RNA". It matches the Rfam family "Bacterial small subunit ribosomal RNA", at positions 28 to 507 of the family's 1533-position model. The record is from RNAcentral.
GAUGAACGCUGGCGGCGUGCCUAAUACAUGCAAGUCGAGCGAACGGACGAGAAGCUUGCUUCUCUGAUGUUGGCGGCGGACGGGUGAGUAACACGUGGAUAACCUACCUAUAAGACUGGGAUAACUUCGGGAAACCGGAGCUAAUACCGGAUAAUAUUUUGAACCGCAUGGUUCAAAAGUGAAAGACGGUCUUGCUGUCACUUAUAGAUGGAUCCGCGCUGCAUUAGCUAGUUGGUAAGGUAACGGCUUACCAAGGCAACGAUGCAUAGCCGACCUGAGAGGGUGAUCGGCCACACUGGAACUGAGACACGGUCCAGACUCCUACGGGAGGCAGCAGUAGGGAAUCUUCCGCAAAGGGCGAAAGCCUGACGGAGCAACGCCGCGUGAGUGAUGAAAGUCUUCGGAUCGUAAAACUCUGUUAUUAGGGAAGAACAUAUGUGUAAGUAACUGUGCACAUCUUGACGGUACCUAAUCAGAAAGCCACGGCUAACUACGUG